UACGUAGGGACCAAGCGUUGUUCGGAUUUACUGGGCGUAAAGGGCGCGUAGGCGGCAAUUCAAGUCACUUGUGAAAUCUCUGAGCUUAACUCAGAACGGUCAAGUGAUACUGCUUUGCUAGAGUGCAGAAGGGGCAACCGGGAAUUCUUGGUGUAGCGGUGAAAUGCGUAGAUAUCAAGAGGAACACCGGAGGUGAAGACGGGUUGCUGGGCUGACACGUGACGCUGAGGCGCGAAAGCUAGGGUAGCAAACGGG
Molecule: ribosomal RNA, 255 nt
Filed under: uncultured bacterium
Lineage: Bacteria
Description: partial 16S ribosomal RNA
Rfam family: Bacterial small subunit ribosomal RNA
Source: RNAcentral